GGGUUGUGAGGUUAAGCGACUAAGCGUACACGGUGGAUGCCCUGGCAGUCAGAGGCGAUGAAGGACGUGCUAAUCUGCGAUAAGCGUCGGUAAGGUGAUAUGAACCGUUAUAACCGGCGAUUUCCGAAUGGGGAAACCCAGUGUGAUUCGUCACACUAUCAUUAACUGAAUCCAUAGGUUAAUGAGGCGAACCGGGGGAACUGAAACAUCUAAGUACCCCGAGGAAAAGAAAUCAACCGAGAUUCCCCCAGUAGCGGCGAGCGAACGGGGAGGAGCCCAGAGCCUGAAUCAGUGUGUGUGUUAGUGGAAGCGUCUGGAAAGGCGCGCGAUACAGGGUGACAGCCCCGUACACAAAAAUGCACAUGCUGUGAGCUCGAUGAGUAGGGCGGGACACGUGGUAUCCUGUCUGAAUAUGGGGGGACCAUCCUCCAAGGCUAAAUACUCCUGACUGACCGAUAGUGAACCAGUACCGUGAGGGAAAGGCGAAAAGAACCCCGGCGAGGGGAGUGAAAAAGAACCUGAAACCGUGUACGUACAAGCAGUGGGAGCCUCUUUAUGGGGUGACUGCGUACCUUUUGUAUAAUGGGUCAGCGACUUAUAUUCUGUAGCAAGGUUAACCGAAUAGGGGAGCCGAAGGGAAACCGAGUCUUAACUGGGCGUUAAGUUGCAGGGUAUAGACCCGAAACCCGGUGAUCUAGCCAUGGGCAGGUUGAAGGUUGGGUAACACUAACUGGAGGACCGAACCGACUAAUGUUGAAAAAUUAGCGGAUGACUUGUGGCUGGGGGUGAAAGGCCAAUCAAACCGGGAGAUAGCUGGUUCUCCCCGAAAGCUAUUUAGGUAGCGCCUCGUGAAUUCAUCUCCGGGGGUAGAGCACUGUUUCGGCAAGGGGGUCAUCCCGACUUACCAACCCGAUGCAAACUGCGAAUACCGGAGAAUGUUAUCACGGGAGACACACGGCGGGUGCUAACGUCCGUCGUGAAGAGGGAAACAACCCAGACCGCCAGCUAAGGUCCCAAAGUCAUGGUUAAGUGGGAAACGAUGUGGGAAGGCCCAGACAGCCAGGAUGUUGGCUUAGAAGCAGCCAUCAUUUAAAGAAAGCGUAAUAGCUCACUGGUCGAGUCGGCCUGCGCGGAAGAUGUAACGGGGCUAAACCAUGCACCGAAGCUGCGGCAGCGACACUAUGUGUUGGGUAGGGGAGCGUUCUGUAAGCCUGCGAAGGUGUACUGUGAGGUAUGCUGGAGGUAUCAGAAGUGCGAAUGCUGACAUAAGUAACGAUAAAGCGGGUGAAAAGCCCGCUCGCCGGAAGACCAAGGGUUCCUGUCCAACGUUAAUCGGGGCAGGGUGAGUCGACCCCUAAGGCGAGGCCGAAAGGCGUAGUCGAUGGGAAACAGGUUAAUAUUCCUGUACUUGGUGUUACUGCGAAGGGGGGACGGAGAAGGCUAUGUUGGCCGGGCGACGGUUGUCCCGGUUUAAGCGUGUAGGCUGGUUUUCCAGGCAAAUCCGGAAAAUCAAGGCUGAGGCGUGAUGACGAGGCACUACGGUGCUGAAGCAACAAAUGCCCUGCUUCCAGGAAAAGCCUCUAAGCAUCAGGUAACAUCAAAUCGUACCCCAAACCGACACAGGUGGUCAGGUAGAGAAUACCAAGGCGCUUGAGAGAACUCGGGUGAAGGAACUAGGCAAAAUGGUGCCGUAACUUCGGGAGAAGGCACGCGAUAUGUAGGUGAAGCGACUGGAUGGAGCUGAAAUCAGUCGAAGAUACCAGCUGGCUGCAACUGUUUAUUAAAAACACAGCACUGUGCAAACACGAAAGUGGACGUAUACGGUGUGACGCCUGCCCGGUGCCGGAAGGUUAAUUGAUGGGGUUAGCGCAAGCGAAGCUCUUGAUCGAAGCCCCGGUAAACGGCGGCCGUAACUAUAACGGUCCUAAGGUAGCGAAAUUCCUUGUCGGGUAAGUUCCGACCUGCACGAAUGGCGUAAUGAUGGCCAGGCUGUCUCCACCCGAGACUCAGUGAAAUUGAACUCGCUGUGAAGAUGCAGUGUACCCGCGGCAAGACGGAAAGACCCCGUGAACCUUUACUAUAGCUUGACACUGAACAUUGAGCCUUGAUGUGUAGGAUAGGUGGGAGGCUUUGAAGUGUGGACGCCAGUCUGCAUGGAGCCGACCUUGAAAUACCACCCUUUAAUGUUUGAUGUUCUAACGUUGGCCCGAUCGGGUUGCGGACAGUGUCUGGUGGGUAGUUUGACUGGGGCGGUCUCCUCCUAAAGAGUAACGGAGGAGCACGAAGGUUGGCUAAUCCUGGUCGGACAUCAGGAGGUUAGUGCAAUGGCAUAAGCCAGCUUGACUGCGAGCGUGACGGCGCGAGCAGGUGCGAAAGCAGGUCAUAGUGAUCCGGUGGUUCUGAAUGGAAGGGCCAUCGCUCAACGGAUAAAAGGUACUCCGGGGAUAACAGGCUGAUACCGCCCAAGAGUUCAUAUCGACGGCGGUGUUUGGCACCUCGAUGUCGGCUCAUCACAUCCUGGGGCUGAAGUAGGUCCCAAGGGUAUGGCUGUUCGCCAUUUAAAGUGGUACGCGAGCUGGGUUUAGAACGUCGUGAGACAGUUCGGUCCCUAUCUGCCGUGGGCGCUGGAGAACUGAGGGGGGCUGCUCCUAGUACGAGAGGACCGGAGUGGACGCAUCACUGGUGUUCGGGUUGUCAUGCCAAUGGCACUGCCCGGUAGCUAAAUGCGGAAGAGAUAAGUGCUGAAAGCAUCUAAGCACGAAACUUGCCCCGAGAUGAGUUCUCCCUGACUCCCUGAGAGUCCUGAAGGAACGUUGAAGACGACGACGUUGAUAGGCCGGGUGUGUAAGCGCAGCGAUGCGUUGAGCUAACCGGUACUAAUGAACCGUGAGGCUUAACCUUACAACGCCGAAG
This 2913-nucleotide ribosomal RNA is filed under the name Escherichia coli. RNAcentral describes it as "23S ribosomal RNA". It matches the Rfam family "Bacterial large subunit ribosomal RNA". The record is from RNAcentral. Lineage: Bacteria; Pseudomonadati; Pseudomonadota; Gammaproteobacteria; Enterobacterales; Enterobacteriaceae.